UACAGAGGGUGCAAGCGUUGUUCGGAAUUAUUGGGCGUAAAGCGCGUGUAGGCGGCAUGGCAAGUCGGGUGUGAAAGCCCUCAGCUUAACUGAGGAAGUGCGCCCGAAACUGUUUUGCUUGAGUGCUGGAGAGGGUCGCGGAAUUCCCCAAGUAGAGGUGAAAUUCGUAGAUAUGGGGAGGAACACCGGUGGCGAAGGCGGCGACCUGGACAGUAACUGACGCUGAGGAGCGAAAGCGUGGGGAGCGAACAGG
This 253-nucleotide ribosomal RNA is filed under the name uncultured bacterium. RNAcentral's name for it is "partial 16S ribosomal RNA". It matches the Rfam family "Bacterial small subunit ribosomal RNA", at positions 524 to 776 of the family's 1533-position model. The record is from RNAcentral.